UGGGGAAUUUUGGACAAUGGACGCAAGUCUGAUCCAGCCAUUCCGCGUGCAGGAUGAAGGCCCUCGGGUUGUAAACUGCUUUUGUACGGAACGAAAAGGCUUUCUCUAAUACGGAGAGCUGAUGACGGUACCGUAAGAAUAAGCACCGGCUAACUACGUGCCAGCAGCCGCGGUAAUACGUAGGGUGCGAGCGUUAAUCGGAAUUACUGGGCGUAAAGCGUGCGCAGGCGGUGAUGUAAGACAGGUGUGAAAUCCCCGGGCUUAACCUGGGAACUGCAUUUGUGACUGCAUCGCUGGAGUGCGGCAGAGGGGGAUGGAAUUCCGCGUGUAGCAGUGAAAUGCGUAGAUAUGCGGAGGAACACCGAUGGCGAAGGCAAUCCCCUGGGCCUGCACUGACGCUCAUGCACGAAAGCGUGGGGAGCAAACAG
RNAcentral lists this ribosomal RNA (428 nucleotides) under uncultured bacterium. Its description in RNAcentral is "bacterial SSU rRNA". It matches the Rfam family "Bacterial small subunit ribosomal RNA", at positions 355 to 775 of the family's 1533-position model. The record is from RNAcentral.